RNAcentral lists this long non-coding RNA (976 nucleotides) under Mytilus galloprovincialis (Mediterranean mussel). The record is from RNAcentral. Lineage: Eukaryota; Metazoa; Mollusca; Bivalvia; Mytilida; Mytilidae.
CGUAACACACCUGUAUACUGUUUUGGAGGUACCGAUAAAGAUGAUACUGGCGUAGAGAUAGACUCAGUAACAAGAUCAGAUGUACCAAUCAAUGUUUGCCUCAAUGACCUACAGUCACAUUGAAAAACAAGAAAACAUGUUUCAUUUUGCAGGUAAGGGAUAUACUUUUGAAAUUUGUAAUAUUUUGUCGUCAUUGUUGUUUCUUUAAACAUUAUACCAAUUUCAAAUAAAAUUCCCGGGUAGUUGAAAAUAUGGCUACUAAAAAGUUACUAGGGUGACAUAUGUAAUAGAACAAGUCUAGCGUUUGAAAAACACGUUUGCAUGUAUUGAACAGGUACAAUAUUUCAAUGCACUUCAAGACUUAUAAACCAAUGAAAACGGUCUUAUUUUUUUAAAAAAGUCUUCCACUUAACAAGCUUGAAUGAGAAAGCAAAAUCGUUUUUAGGACAACACAUAUAAAAUAAAUACAUGAUCGACGAGUAACAAAUUAAUUUCAGACAAACUAAAUAUAUAAACACUUUAAAGCUCUCACCUCUAUUGUGAGUGGGACCAUAGAGUUGGGUUUUUUUUAACAAAUUUGAUUCGACUUUGAAAGGACAAUUUUUGCAGAAGUAUUAUUCUGAUUUUCCAAUAUUUUGAGUAUGUUAUACCAGUAUUAAUGUCUCUUAGGUGUUAAUCAUAUCAAACCUCUUUCACUGAAUAAAUAUUUUUUGGUUUGUUUCAGAAAAUACAAUGGAGCACUCUGUUCAUGGAAAGGACAACUUCUACCGGGAGUAAAUUGUCUGCCGGAAGUUUGUGAGGACAGAUGUCAGGGGUGUUGGGACCUACCACUCCUUAUAUCUGUCUUCAAAAUUGACCGGCUUUAUACAACGAUUACCAUCUUCGGAAGCAAAGCAGGAACCAGUUCUACUUUAUUUUACUUUCCCCAUAUUUGUUUGUAAUUUAAUAUACAUAGUCGUAAAUAUCUGUUUCUCGG